This 388-nucleotide ribosomal RNA is filed under the name uncultured bacterium. RNAcentral's name for it is "bacterial SSU rRNA". It matches the Rfam family "Bacterial small subunit ribosomal RNA", at positions 28 to 417 of the family's 1533-position model. The record is from RNAcentral.
GACGAACGCUGGCGGCGUGCUUAACACAUGCAAGUCGAGCGGUAAGGCCCUUUCGGGGGUACACGAGCGGCGAACGGGUGAGUAACACGUGGGUGACCUGCCCUUAGCUCUGGGAUAAGCCUGGGAAACUGGGUCUAAUACCGGAUAUGACUCCAUAACGCAUGUUGUGGGGUGGAAAGCCUUGUGCGGCUGAGGAUGGGCCCGCGGCCCAUCAGCUUGUUGGUGGGGUGAUGGCCUACCAAGGCGACGACGGGUAGCCGGCCUGAGAGGGCGACCGGCCACACUGGGACUGAGAUACGGCCCAGACUCCUACGGGAGGCAGCAGUGGGGAAUCUUGCGCAAUGGGCGAAAGCCUGACGCAGCGACGUCGCGUGAGGGAUGACGGCCU